RNAcentral lists this long non-coding RNA (419 nucleotides) under Ananas comosus (pineapple). RNAcentral's name for it is "long non-coding RNA (ACOM_LNC015969)". The record is from RNAcentral. Lineage: Eukaryota; Viridiplantae; Streptophyta; Magnoliopsida; Poales; Bromeliaceae.
AAUGAGCUAGUUGCAAUAUCUUUUUUGCGUCUCACUGAAAAACGGAGAAGCAUAUCUUUAUCUAUUUUCGAUCCAACCCCGUUUUACCCCCGAUUUACCAAAUAUUGUUAGAUGACCGUCAGCUACAUUUUUUCCAACUGCGUCUCACUACUGCUGCUUUCCGCAAACGUUGUUGGUUCAUGCUCCAAUUAGGCUUCGUUUGGGAUUGCAGGGAUAUUGUGUUAUAUACGGUAAAAAAGUACGUUGGAUACGUAUUGCGUUUCGUAUAUCACGAUGAGUCGGUUAUGAUAUAUUUUCUGCAGUCCCACCGGAGAACGCAGAAGCAUAUCCCGAUAUGUUUUUUUCCUCAACUCCAAUUUAUCUAAUAGUGUUAGAUAGAUCUCAAUACCAAACUAAGCCUUAGAAGAUUCGGCCCAGCA